UGGUUUUAAGUACCUUCAUAUUCUUGUGCAACCAUCAUGACCGUCCAUCUUCAGAAUUCUUUUCACCUUGAAAAACGGAAACUGUACCCACUACAGAAGAAUUCCCCACCUUCCCCUUCCAGUCCCUGGCAUACACCUGUCUGCUUUCUCCUACUCGAGGCACUCGAUAAAAGUAGAGGCACACAACCUUUGCCUUUUGCAGCUGGCUUCCUUCACUUAACAUAAUGUCAUUAGGUUUUUCCAUGCUAGAGCAUGGGUCAGAAUUUCCUUCCUCUAGAGCCGGGAUACCUCCCCCGUUGUGUGAAUGUACCACAUCUCAUUUAUCCUUUCAUUUGUCAUGUCUACUGAUGGACACUUGAGGCAAGCACUUCCAUAUGGCUUGCUUACCAAGACUAGAGUAGAUCUUGGCCCUACUAUGUGCUCAACAAAUAAUGGUUGAAUGAGUUUUAAUUUUUGUGAACAUAAACGGACAGUGGGCUCCCCAGAUGGGCUGUCCAACAGGUGUUCCAGGCUGACUCAGGACCACAGGUGAGGUGAGGGAUGAAGGCAGCGAUGAGAAGGUACUCCCAGGGUACGGGGGCUGGGAGAUGGGAGCCCAGGCCCGGGCGCAGCACAGGUGGGAGCAGAGCCAUGAAAGAGCAGGAAAGGGGUCUCGGGAAAGUGCCAAGUGCCAUGGACUUAAAAACGGGAGAGGGCUUUUUACGAGGGGUGCCACCCAAGUCAGGAAGGAUAGGGUCUGAGGAAGGAACACGAAUUGGCAAGUACUGAUGGAGACAAGGCAAACUCAGCUCUGUCUGACGUCAUUGUUGACCUUGGAAAAAGGUUUCUAUAGCGCGGUGAGCUAUUUUUCUUUCUUUCUUUCUUUCUUUUUUUUUUUUCUUUUUGUCCUUUUAGGGCCACACCUGAGGCACAUGGAGGUUCCUAGGUCGGGGGUUGAAUCAGAGCUGCAGCCGCUGGCCUAUGCCACAGCCACACCAGAUCCAAGCCAUGUCUGCGACCUACACCACAGCUCAUGGCAACACUGGAUCCUUAACCCACUGAGCAAGGCCGUGGAUCGAACCUGCGUCCUCAUGGAUACUAGUCAGAUUCGUUUCUGCUGUGCCACAGUGAGGACUCCAGCCAGAGCUGUUCAGUGCCAGGCUCUGGGUGAGGCACUAGGACUUGCAGCAGGUGCAGCAGCAGCAGCAACAGAGAAGGAUGCAUGAAGCACAGACUCCGUGGACGUCUUAAACUUGAGCGGGGCCUUGAAAUACGGUUGGGGUCUGAAUAUGGAACAGUGCAGAGAAGAGGGACGGGCACCCCACAUGGAUGAGCAGUGAGAAAAAGAGCUUGGUGGAAAGAGUGGGGGCGCGCCUGGGGACGGCAAGGAAGCCGGGUCCAGGAGGCAGAGGAUGUGCGGGGAAGGCGGAAGAUGUGGUUGACUGAGAGGUGGCCAUGGGAAGCUCGAGUGAACCACAUCGAAGCCCUCCGUCUAGCGUCGCUUUGCAGUCGUGUGUGUGUGAUUACUGUCCACCCAUCCAUAGGGCCACCCCGCUACCCUGUGAGCACAGGGGCAUAUGUUUUAUCAUGGACACUGGUAUGUGUAAAGACUUGCGUGUGCCAGACACACCUGGCUCAAAUGGGAGUGCAGCUCUUCCUCAGUUUUGUGUAAUUGCUGGUCACUGAGCUCCAGCGGAGAGCCAUGCCUGGCACUCUGAGACUGACACGCUACCUGCUGUGCUAACAAGGCACCUCAAUGCCUGGCACUAGAUGCUGGAGCGUGAGGACAAACAGGUUGAGAUCUAAAAAGUAAGACUUGGACUGGGGCUGUCCUUAGACUCACCUGAGUCCUUCAGACCUUCCUUCCUGCAGAACCUGGGGAGAUGUUGGGCUGAAGACUGAGGAUGCAGACACCGCGUCUGCCAUCUUCGUCCCAGCAGCUUCCACGCCAAUGCUGAGCUGCCACUGUUCUGCCUUGGGGCCAGACGAAAGGCCGUGUUCUCAUCCAGCGCCCCCUCUGAAAAAGCAGUUUGGUACCUUCUUAUAUACACCCACAAGGCUGGCCCCAGAUUGCAAGAAAUAUUCAGAAGUGGUUUUCAAUGAUAACAUCCAGCUAACUCCUCUAAACCCAGGAGGCCUGGAGGCUGUUUAUCUCAAGGAAGAUGCCUGGAGCCUUCCCCCCGGACAUAAAUGGAGGAUCCCAGAACGUGUGAACAUGCAUCCUCUGACUGGGUACCGGUCAGCUGUCCCCCCGCCCCCACCACCAGGCACAGGAACCAAGGCAGAGGGCGGGAGGCAGGAGAGGCCAAAGUCCUUACCUGCUUCUGAGCCCAGGUUUUCCUGGCAGAGCUGGGAAGCGGGAAGUAUCUCCCUACCUGCCUCUAGCCCUGAGAUGCUGAGAAGGAAGCCAGGACCCCGAGGGAGGCUUUGGAUCUCUGCAGGACUGUGCCUGUGCCAUCUCUGGCACCAGUCUUUACUGAGCCCCCAGCAGGUUACCGUAGCAUCCAGUCUGGUCUGGCCUGGCACCUAAGAGAUUGGGUUUUAAAACGAGGGCCUAUCUACAAAAAAUAAAGUAAUAGUGACAGCUAAAUUUAUCAAGUAUUUACUCUGUUCCAGGUGUGGUGCUAAGUGUUUGCUUUGCAUUCGCUCAUUUAAGCCUCCCCGUGACUCUGGAAUAAUUGUGGGAUUGUUUGACAGCUGAGGAAACUGAGUCACAGAGAGACAUGGUCUCUUUCUGAAAUCACUCGGCCAGUAACAGGUGGAAGUGGACAUUGAACCCGUCUGCCUCCAGAGCUUGUACGCCUCAGGGAAGUCGGCCCCGGGGGGUGUGUAGGAGCCACCAGAGGUCAGAGCAGAGAGGUCAGCUGCUGACCAGCCGGACUCUGAGAUCCGGUUUCUCGCUGUUGGAGCCGGCUGCCCCCACUGCUUCAGGGAGGGGACUGCUGCCCUGCUGUAUGAGCCACCUUUGCCAGGAGGAUUAGCUUCUUCCUCGUGUCAAAACAAGCCAAGCAGGAAAAAAAUCAACAACCAACUCCCGACUUCCAGCAGCAAGAGCCCUGCAUCCUGUCCAGCAGGAGGGAGCUCUCCGCUGCGGAGGGGGUCGACUGUCCUAGACCACGUCCUGGUUGUGGGCGUGUGCCGAGAGGGACCCCGAGACCCCCGGGUUUCCAGGUCGGGGCCCCGAGGCCCUGCCAGUGCACAGUCCCUGGCAGCAGCCCUUCUCCUCUGCUCCCCAUCCAGCCCUGUGACGUCUGCUGAUAUCCCGUCCUGCCACGGGCUUGCUCUGCGUCCACGGCGAGCCCAGUGACCGUUUGCAGGGUAAGGACAUUGGAUGUGAGCAGUGGUUUUCAAAACAAAAUGUUUCUUUGUUGCAAAGGAACAUGUUCUUCAGAUGAAACAACUUCUGCUAGAAUAGCAAACAGUCUAAAGCAGAGGUGUCAGUUUUCGUAAAAAUAAACAAGGGCCAAAAACCUUGGGUCAGUCAAAAUUCUCUGCAAAUGGUUCCCUGAGCCUGACUGGAUCUCCUUUUGCCACUCCUGCCCCCUUUGGUGGCCUUUGCACCUUCUGGCUUGAUUGGAAGUUGUGGAUUCUUCGGAGCCCCCUCAGCUUCCUCCAUGGAGCCUCAGUGCGUCGUGGUUCCAGCUGCAUUUAUUAACCAUUUUAAUCGUUGGGCUCCCCCGAACUGCCUGGUGGUAGCUUCAGAGAAUGUGUGUGUAUAUUUGCAUACUACACAUGGUAUUUGCAUAGAUGAUGUAUGCAGACAGCAUAUAUUUGCAUAUGCAUUUAUGUAUAUGUGUGUAUCCGUGGGAACAUAUGUGCGUAUGCAUGUGCGUGUCACAUACGGAGAGAGCCUUUGGAGAGAGGCCAUGUCUUUGUGUCCCUCAGCACCUGGUCAGCAGUAGGCCCGCAGGAGCGUUUCGAUCGCGGGGGUCUUCUGCGUCCUCAGAACAUCUUCUUGCCCAUGUCAGGUGCUCAGUAAAUACUAGCGUCGAAUGAUUGGGUGACUUGGCAGGUCAUACCUGGAAAGUCUUGGCUAUCAAUCUUGGGUCUUGCCAUGUACUUGCUGUAAAAUCGGGGUAAAUAUUCAUCACUUGUCUUAACCAUCGGGUGGGGAUGACAGCGCAUGCCUGCCGCAACUGCUGAUGGAAUGCCUGCCACAGUCCAGGCACGCCUCUCAGCAGUUUACAAAGCAGACAGAGGUCCUUGUCCUCAUGGAGCUCACAUUUCAGCCAGAUUCGAGAAGAGCCCCUCUCCCGCCCCCGACCCCGAGUUGCUGGGAGAAGAGGAGGAGGAAAGGGUCCCUCCUGCUUGGUCAGAGGCAGAGCCACAACCUGGGUUGGGACUGCCACAGGAUGGAGGGGCGCUGGUGGCCUGUGUGGGACACAGGACUCUCAGCGCGGAGUUUACGCCAUGAGAGAAGAGGAGGAGGAAAUGCCAUCGGGGCUGAGCUGGAAGGGUAGCAAGUCUCUCUGCCUCCCCAGGCACCUGCUCUGACUGACCCUGAGGCUGUGCCCCCCGCCCCCAGUCAGCACCACGUGGAGCUGCCCUCGUCUGAGGGCUGCAGCCCCAGAGCCCUGCUGCCUCCAUGCCUCUCUUUUCUAGUGGCAUCUCUUUUACCCAUUUCCAGGGCAUCGCUCUGGGAAAUAGAGAGAGGAGGCUUUGGCCCUGGUCACCUCUGGCUGCCCUGCUGGCCCUCGGAGCCGCAUGUUCAUGGAGGUUUGUCCCUCACCGAGGAUGAUUUCGAGUGAGUUUUACUUGAUCUUGGCUCUGCUUUAGUGCCCUCGUCUAUAAGGUGGGACUGGUAAUAAUUGCACUUACCUCAUGGAGUUAUUGAAAGGAUUAAAUGAGCCUGUAAAGUGCUUAAAAUAGUAUCUGGCUCAGAGUAAGUGCUCUGUCUGUUCAUGCUGGAUGGCUGGAUGCAUUUGUGUAGUGGCGGUGGGCCUGUCUGCUUGGCCCUGUGACCACGAGCUCGCCGUGGGCAGGACACAUCCCACGUGUCCCUAUAGUCUCAGCACCUAGCCCGGUGCCUGGCACACGGUAGGCAUGCCGCAAAUACACGUUAUGAGAACAGUGACCACUCUGGGAACUUUCACAUGCCACAGGUGUGGC
RNAcentral lists this long non-coding RNA (5088 nucleotides) under Sus scrofa (pig). RNAcentral's name for it is "lncRNA (ENSSSCG00045010798.1)". Lineage: Eukaryota; Metazoa; Chordata; Mammalia; Artiodactyla; Suidae. The record is from RNAcentral.